This 76-nucleotide transfer RNA is filed under the name Streptomyces spectabilis. RNAcentral describes it as "tRNA-His". It matches the Rfam family "tRNA". From Rfam's summary of the family: Transfer RNA (tRNA) molecules are approximately 80 nucleotides in length. Their secondary structure includes four short double-helical elements and three loops (D, anti-codon, and T loops). The record is from RNAcentral. Lineage: Bacteria; Bacillati; Actinomycetota; Actinomycetes; Kitasatosporales; Streptomycetaceae.
UUGACGGUAGCUCAAUGGCUAGAGCGCUGGGUUGUGAUCCCGGUGAUUGCGGGUUCGAGUCCCGUCCGUCACCCCU